UACGAAGGGGGCUAGCGUUGUUCGGAAUUACUGGGCGUAAAGCGCACGUAGGCGGAUUGUUAAGUGAGGGGUGAAAUCCCAGGGCUCAACCCUGGAACUGCCUUUCAUACUGGCAAUCUAGAGUCCAGAAGAGGUGAGUGGAAUUCCGAGUGUAGAGGUGAAAUUCGUAGAUAUUCGGAGGAACACCAGUGGCGAAGGCGGCUCACUGGUCUGGUACUGACGCUGAGGUGCGAAAGCGUGGGGAGCAAACAGGA
RNAcentral lists this ribosomal RNA (254 nucleotides) under uncultured prokaryote. Its description in RNAcentral is "partial 16S ribosomal RNA". It matches the Rfam family "Bacterial small subunit ribosomal RNA", at positions 524 to 777 of the family's 1533-position model. The record is from RNAcentral.